UAGUGUAAAUCUUGAGAUAGUGCUAUCCAAAGAAUUUGAAUGUCAAAAAUGCUACCCUAACUUCUGCAAGUUGAAAGAAAGAAACAAAUAAGGGUUUAAAGGAUUUAAAUGGGAAAAAAUAAAUAAAUAAAUUAUCUAACUUGAGAUAACGGAAGAAUUUGACAAUUACAUCCAUAAAUCUAACACUCGAAUUUUGAGUUAAAUUUUCAUCACCUUAUUUGCCAUACAAAAGAAAAAAGAAACUUAUGAGCUAAGCAAAAGAGGUAGUUGUCAUUUCAGAGGUGAUUUAUACUGUUAAUGUACACUAAAAAAAGGGGGGAGAAACAUAAUGAUUAGAAAAAAAUGGAUGUGGGUUUUGGGAAACAAGUUGAAGGAGAUGACUGAAAAUGCAAUAAUGAAAAAAAAAAAGAGAAAAAAAGAAAAAAAAAAAGAAAGAAAGAAAGCCCAAAAAUUACCAUUGUUUUGCGUGUAAAGUCAUACGGACCUGGCAUCCAAAGCUGCAGGGAAGGGUCCCUUUUUCACUUGUUCAAGUAUUUUCCAAAAACACCCCUUCUUCACUUCUUGUUACCUUCUUCUUCUUCUUCCUCUUCUUCUUCUUCUUCUUCCUGUGACUGUCUCUUUUCUUUUGUGGUAAAACUUUAAAAAGGCCUUAUCUGCCUUCUAGACUUGUUUUUUUUACCUUCUUGUUUGUAUUCUUAAGUUGUUUGUUUAUGACUGCAGCAUCUACUUUCAGUUGUUUCUUCUGUUGGCUUCCUCCUGUUUGUAUGUUUUUAAAUAUCAACUUCAAAUUUUGAGAAAGAUUGAGAUUUACCCUCUAUUUUACUUCCUUUUUU
RNAcentral lists this long non-coding RNA (833 nucleotides) under Ricinus communis (castor bean). RNAcentral's name for it is "long non-coding RNA (RCOM_LNC002528)". Lineage: Eukaryota; Viridiplantae; Streptophyta; Magnoliopsida; Malpighiales; Euphorbiaceae. The record is from RNAcentral.